UACGAACCGUACAAACGUUAUUCGGAAUCACUGGGCUUAAAGGGUGCGUAGGCGGCCAUGUAAGUGGGGUGUGAAAUCCCUCGGCUCAACCGAGGAACUGCGCUCCAUACUGCAUGGCUUGAGGGAGACAGGGGUAAGCGGAACUGAUGGUGGAGCGGUGAAAUGCGUUGAUAUCAUCAGGAACACCGGUGGCGAAAGCGGCUUACUGGGUCUCUUCUGACGCUGAGGAACGAAAGCUAGGGUAGCGAACGGG
RNAcentral lists this ribosomal RNA (253 nucleotides) under uncultured bacterium. RNAcentral's name for it is "partial 16S ribosomal RNA". It matches the Rfam family "Bacterial small subunit ribosomal RNA", at positions 524 to 776 of the family's 1533-position model. The record is from RNAcentral.